RNAcentral lists this ribosomal RNA (624 nucleotides) under Salmonella enterica. RNAcentral's name for it is "partial 23S ribosomal RNA". It matches the Rfam family "Bacterial large subunit ribosomal RNA", at positions 590 to 1215 of the family's 2925-position model. Lineage: Bacteria; Pseudomonadati; Pseudomonadota; Gammaproteobacteria; Enterobacterales; Enterobacteriaceae. The record is from RNAcentral.
GGUGUGACUGCGUACCUUUUGUAUAAUGGGUCAGCGACUUAUAUUCUGUAGCAAGGUUAACCGAAUAGGGGAGCCGGAGGGAAACCGAGUCUUAACCGGGCGUUAAGUUGCAGGGUAUAGACCCGAAACCCGGUGAUCUAGCCAUGGGCAGGUUGAAGGUUGGGUAACACUAACUGGAGGACCGAACCGACUAAUGUUGAAAAAUUAGCGGAUGACCUGUGGCUGGGGGUGAAAGGCCAAUCAAACCGGGAGAUAGCUGGUUCUCCCCGAAAGCUAUUUAGGUAGCGCCUCGUGAAUUCAUCUCCGGGGGUAGAGCACUGUUUCGGCUAGGGGGCCAUCCCGGCUUACCAACCCGAUGCAAACUGCGAAUACCGGAGAAUGUUAUCACGGGAGACACACGGCGGGUGCUAACGUCCGUCGUGAAGAGGGAAACAACCCAGACCGCCAGCUAAGGUCCCAAAGUCAUGGUUAAGUGGGAAACGAUGUGGGAAGGCCCAGACAGCCAGGAUGUUGGCUUAGAAGCAGCCAUCAUUUAAAGAAAGCGUAAUAGCUCACUGGUCGAGUCGGCCUGCGCGGAAGAUGUAACGGGGCUAAACCAUGCACCGAAGCUGCGGCAGCGAACGU